CUCUUUUCUUUUUCUUUCUUCUUGCCCCAUUCCUUCUCUUUCAUGCUUCUCUCCAAUGGUAGAAAAAUUGCAGCACCCCCCUUUUCUUCUCAAGCACGAGCCCUUCUCCUCCUUUAUCUUCACCAACCAAGAGAAACCCAGCAGCUGUUGCUGCUGCCCUCUUCCGGCAACAAGGGAAGUAACCUUUUUUCUCCUUUUGUUGUUUUCCAGCCAAUUCCAGACACCAGAGUCUCUGCUAGAGCUAGCCGACGCCACCGGCAAUAAGGAAAAGCACAAGAUUGAGCCAACAUCAACCCCUUUUCUUGCUUUGUCCGAUUUUUCCAGCAAAAGGAGCAGCUUCAAAGGAAGUUGCAAGAUACGAGUUCGAGUGGAGCAUGAUGAUGUGCCGGCACUCGAAAAAUUUUGUUGUAUAUAAAAUGGGAGUGCGUAUUGAUACAAUCACCACCGUACUAUCAUUGGAUAUCUACAAUAUAAUCCAGGAUUAUAUUUGGAUAUAUGUGUAGGUGAUGUAUCAUUGUAAGAUUGGAUAUUUUGUAUUUGAUGUUAACUUGUUAAUACUUUUGGAUAUUUUUGAUUGUCAAUAUGUUUUGGAUAUUUGGAAUUUUGGAGAUAUGGACACUUGUUACUAUGUUUUGUAUUGUUUUUGACAGUUUUAUUAUUUGUUUGUGGGCA
Zingiber officinale is the source of this 672-nucleotide long non-coding RNA. RefSeq lists it as uncharacterized. Lineage: Eukaryota; Viridiplantae; Streptophyta; Magnoliopsida; Zingiberales; Zingiberaceae. The record is from RefSeq and is a predicted model, not a curated record. The transcript is spliced from 5 exons.